Molecule: ribosomal RNA, 500 nt
Filed under: uncultured bacterium
Lineage: Bacteria
Description: partial 16S ribosomal RNA
Rfam family: Bacterial small subunit ribosomal RNA
Source: RNAcentral
AUUGAACGCUGGCGGCAGGCUUAACACAUGCGAGUCGAGCGGGGGAAGGUAGCUUGCUACCGGACCUAGCGGCGGACGGGUGAGUAAUGCUUAGGAAUCUGCCUAUUAGUGGGGGACAACAUCUCGAAAGGGAUGCUAAUACCGCAUACGUCCUACGGGAGAAAGCAGGGGAUCUUCGGACCUUGCGCUAAUAGAUGAGCCUAAGUCGGAUUAGCUAGUUGGUGGGGUAAAGGCCUACCAAGGCGACGAUCUGUAGCGGGUCUGAGAGGAUGAGCCGCCACACUGGGACUGAGACACGGCCCAGACUCCUACGGGAGGCAGCAGUGGGGAUAUUGGACAAUGGGGGGAACCCUGAUCCAGCCAUGCCGCGUGUGUGAAGAAGGCCUUAUGGUUGUAAAGCACUUUAAGCGAGGAGGAGGCUACUUUAGUUAAUACCUAGAGAUAGUGGACGUUACUCGCAGAAUAAGCACCGGCUAACUCUGUGCCAGCCGCCGCGGUAA